RNAcentral lists this ribosomal RNA (253 nucleotides) under uncultured bacterium. RNAcentral describes it as "partial 16S ribosomal RNA". It matches the Rfam family "Archaeal small subunit ribosomal RNA", at positions 474 to 727 of the family's 1478-position model. The record is from RNAcentral.
UACCAGCACCCCGAGUGGUCGGGACGAUUAUUGGGCCUAAAGCAUCCGUAGCCGGUUCUACAAGUCUUCCGUUAAAUCCACCUGCUUAACAGAUGGGCUGCGGAGGAUACUAUAGAGCUAGGAGGCGGGAGAGGCAAGCGGUACUUAGUGGGUAGGGGUAAAAUCCGUUGAUCCAUUAAAGACCACCAGUGGCGAAGGCGGCUUGCCAGAACGCACUCGACGGUGAGGGAUGAAAGCUGGGGGAGCAAACCGG